This 497-nucleotide ribosomal RNA is filed under the name uncultured bacterium. RNAcentral describes it as "partial 16S ribosomal RNA". It matches the Rfam family "Bacterial small subunit ribosomal RNA", at positions 28 to 507 of the family's 1533-position model. The record is from RNAcentral.
GAUGAACGCUGGCGGCGUGCCUAAUACAUGCGAGUCGAGCGAACAGAUGAGGAGCUUGCUCCUCUGACGUUAGCGGCGGACGGGUGAGUAACACGUGGAUAACCUACCUAUAAGACUGGGAUAACUUCGGGAAACCGGAGCUAAUACCGGAUAAUAUAUUGAACCGCAUGGUUCAAUAGUGAAAGACGGUUUUGCUGUCACUUAUAGAUGGAUCCGCGCCGCAUUAGCUAGUUGGUAAGGUAACGGCUUACCAAGGCAACGAUGCGUAGCCGACCUGAGAGGGCGAUCGGCCACACUGGAACUGAGACACGGUCCAGACUCCUACGGGAGGCAGCAGUAGGGCAUCUUCCGCAAUGGGCGAAAGCCUGACGGAGCAACGCCGCGUGAGUGAUGAAGGUCUUCGGAUCGUAAAACUCUGUUAUUAGGGAAGAACAAAUGUGUAAGUAACUAUGCACGUCUUGACGGUACCUAAUCAGAAAGCCACGGCUAACUACGUG